CCUACGGGAGGCAGCAGUGGGGAAUUUUGGACAAUGGGCGCAAGCCUGAUCCAGCAAUGCCGCGUGAGUGAAGAAGGCCUUCGGGUUGUAAAGCUCUUUUGUCAGGGAAGAAACGGCAGUUUCUAAUACAGAUUGCUAAUGACGGUACCUGAAGAAUAAGCACCGGCUAACUACGUGCCAGCAGCCGCGGUAAUACGUAGGGUGCAAGCGUUAAUCGGAAUUACUGGGCGUAAAGCGUGCGCAGGCGGUUUUGUAAGUUUGUCGUGAAAUCCCCGGGCUCAACCUGGGAAUGGCGAUGAAGACUGCAAGGCUAGAAUCUGGCAGAGGGGGGUAGAAUUCCACGUGUAGCAGUGAAAUGCGUAGAGAUGUGGAGGAACACCGAUGGCGAAGGCAGCCCCCUGGGUCAAGAUUGACGCUCAUGCACGAAAGCGUGGGGAGCAAACAGGAUUAGAUACCCUGGUAGUCCACGCCCUAAACGAUGUCUACUAGUUGUCGGGUUUUAAUUAACUUGGUAACGCAGCUAACGCGUGAAGUNACCGCCUGGGGAAGUCGGUCGCAAGAUUAAAACGUCAAAGGAAUUGACGGCNGAGAGNGCGACGGACGACGACGAGGGAGGAGG
Molecule: ribosomal RNA, 619 nt
Filed under: uncultured bacterium
Lineage: Bacteria
Description: bacterial SSU rRNA
Rfam family: Bacterial small subunit ribosomal RNA
Source: RNAcentral